GCAAGGCUGCAACUCUGCUGCAAUUGAGAAGAACAAGAUCUCAGCUUCCACUUUUUCUUUCCCAACUGGAUUUCUCUUAUCCAUCCAACACAAAUGUCUCUCACCUCACCUCUUCUGUAACUCCAUUUAUCCCAAUUCAGAUCCCACAAGCUCAGCUCUCCAUUCCUCCUUGGCUCCUCACCAACGUCCGUCCUCAACCCCCAACUAGUGCUCACUUUCCUUCCUCCAAUUCAAGCCAUGAAAUCCUUUCAAGGUCGAGUUGGUCUUGCAAUUCGUCUACUGUAGUCCUGUCGGCGUUGCCAUUGCCGCUGUCUGCUCCGUCAUAGUGCAGUUUGGUAGCCAAACCUUCAUACAAAAUUAACUAAUUCAGUUUUACUGAGUUACCAAUUAAUUAUAAAAAGUUAAGAACAGUUUUCAAGUGUUAUUUGGAUUUGUUUUCUUCAACAUGUGCAACCAUGAACAGUUUUAUUAGGUUCUACAAUUGUCGUCGUCGGUACAUUUUUUUCCCAUAGUGCAGUUGGUAGCCAAACCUUCAUACAAAGGUAACCAAAUCAGUUUUAUUGGGUUACCAAUUAAUUAUAAAAAAUAAUUAAGAACAGUUUCUAAGUGUUACCUGAAUUUAAUUUCUUCAACAUGUGCAAUCAUAAAACAGUUUGGGUUCUGCAAUGGUCGUCGUCGAUAUUUUUUUUUUUCAUAGUGUAGUUGGUAGACAAACAUUCAUACAAAGGUAACCAAUUCAAUUUUAUUGGAUUACCAAUUGGUAGAAGGCAGCGGUGGAGAAGAUAAAGAGACGGGUGGUUGUGUAGUAGUGAGAUCGGAGGUGAAAAUGAGAAGAGGACUCGGAAUCGAAGAAGAAAAUGAAAGAGAAUAAGAAUAUUAUGAGUAGAAUGAAGAGAGAGAAAGUGAAUAAGUACUUUCUCUCUCUAAAUAGAAUGUCCACUGAAAUCGCCAUUGUCAUUGUUGUUGGUGCUCUGUAAAUUGUAGAGAAAGAAACAGAGAUAGAAGAGAAUGGUAGAGAAUUAGUAGUAGUAGUAGUAGUAGGUGAUGAUGGUAUGUGAAGUCAUUGUUGUUAGUGCUCUGUAAAUUGUAGAGAGAGAAACAGAGGUAGAAGAAAAUAAUAGAGAAUUAGUA
RNAcentral lists this long non-coding RNA (1131 nucleotides) under Panax ginseng (ginseng). RNAcentral's name for it is "long non-coding RNA (PGIN_LNC009571)". Lineage: Eukaryota; Viridiplantae; Streptophyta; Magnoliopsida; Apiales; Araliaceae. The record is from RNAcentral.